This is a long non-coding RNA of Cornus florida, 850 nucleotides long. RefSeq lists it as uncharacterized. Lineage: Eukaryota; Viridiplantae; Streptophyta; Magnoliopsida; Cornales; Cornaceae. The record is from RefSeq and is a predicted model, not a curated record. The transcript is spliced from 2 exons.
UGGAAAUGAGUCCGUGUAUUGUACCAACUCUGACCCAACUAAAAAAUAUAUUACACAUUGUUUGGCUGCUUUCAUAACUCCAAGCAAAUGAACAAGUCAGGCCUUUGUCCAUAUAUGCUGAGCCCAUAGCCCACUUAGCAACCUGAUAAACCUAGACAAACAGAGGCGGUGGGGAUUAGAACUGUGUGUUGGUUAGUUUGAGAAGAAGGAAAGGAAUGGAGAACAGAAAUGAGAUGAAGAAAAGCAUGUGGCUCAGAAAGGUGGAAAUAAAGAAAAUAGAGAAGAAGAACAGUAAUCAGGAGUAAGUCCUGUGUACGGGCAAGAAAGAUGAAGAAGAAAAAGGGUUGUUAGGUCGGAAAGGGGUUGGUGGGACUUGGAGGUUGAUCAACUAGGGUUGGAUGAGCUUGAUGAUUACAGAAUUGCAUUGGAAGGGUUCAGGAAGAAUGUUCUGGCUCGGGCUGAUGAGAUGGCGGCGGCGAGGGCUUGUUCAUCUGAUGAGAUGUCCAUUGCAGCGGCAGCGGCGAGUUCUUGUUCAUCCGAUGCGGCGGUGAGUGCCUGUUCAUCCGAUGCGGUGGGUUUUGGUGUGGAGGGCUCAGCAAGGGAAGUGCCAACUGGACCUGACCCUCUUCACCACCACGACAGUCCUUCCAGACCUUGAUGGAUCAUCACCACCUCUCUGUGUGUCUGUGUGUGUUACAUGUCUUUAAUUUGACUGCUUAAUUAAUGGGGGUUUAUAUCAUUUUCAUUAGUUGUUUCACCUUUUUAUUUAUACAUAUUCUGUUAUUGUACUAACUAUAUAUAUUGACUGCCAUAUAUAUCAAUAUAUGGAUUUGAUUUUGUUGAUUUUUAA